AUCCAGCUGACGAGUCCCAAUUAGGAUGAAACGCAUGUCCUAGAU
Molecule: non-coding RNA, 45 nt
Organism: Schistosoma mansoni
Lineage: Eukaryota; Metazoa; Platyhelminthes; Trematoda; Strigeidida; Schistosomatidae
Source: Rfam